Molecule: long non-coding RNA, 412 nt
Organism: Gasterosteus aculeatus aculeatus (three-spined stickleback)
Lineage: Eukaryota; Metazoa; Chordata; Actinopteri; Perciformes; Gasterosteidae
Source: Ensembl
AAAUGUUAAAAUGCAAAUAAAUAAACCAACAACAGCAUAAUUAGCUCUAGUAGCCUGCUAGGCGCUAGCUUAAUACUAUGGGUGCUUGUCUAAGGCAUGUCUGUGUUUUUGAUGUGUUUUUAUUUAUUUAUUGUAUACAUAAUUAUUUUAUGUAUGACUGAGAUUGACUUUAAUCUGGGUUGUCAUGAAAUAUCAGCAAUAUUUAACCGCAGUAAUCUACUUCUGUAAAUACUUUUUUUUAAAGGCUGCAAUGUUACUGCAACUUUGUACAAGUUUGUCUUAUUGUUUCCUCUCCUAGACAACAGAACAUCGAUCAUCUCCUCUGUGGUUGACCCUCACUGCUGGUGAAUUAUUGCUGACUCUGAGCUAUGACAGAGAGCUUCAUGACUGUGUCGAAGUCUCGCAGCAGACA